RNAcentral lists this ribosomal RNA (773 nucleotides) under Lewinskya rupestris. RNAcentral describes it as "partial 26S ribosomal RNA". It matches the Rfam family "Eukaryotic large subunit ribosomal RNA", at positions 34 to 794 of the family's 3401-position model. The record is from RNAcentral. Lineage: Eukaryota; Viridiplantae; Streptophyta; Bryopsida; Orthotrichales; Orthotrichaceae.
UUAAGCAUAUCACUGAGCGCAGGAGAAGAAACUAACCAGGAUUUCCCUAGUAACGGCGAGCGAACCGGAAAGAGCCCAGCUUGAAAAUCGUGGCGCCCCGGCGCCUCGAAUUGUAGUCUGGAGAAGGUCCCUCUGCGGCGCGCCGGACCCAAGUUCCCUGGAAAGGGACGCCAUCGAGGGUGAGAGCCCCGCUGAUUCCGGAGUGCGCCGCUCCACGAGGACCUGUCUGCGAGUCGGGCUGUUUGGGAAUGCAGCCCUAAGCGGGUGGUAAAUUCCAUCCAAGGCUAAAUAUUGGCAAGAGACCGAUAGCGAACAAGUACCGCGAGGGAAAGAUGAAAAGGACUUUGAAAAGAGAGUUAAAAAGUGCUUGAAAUUGCUGGGAGGGAAGCGAAUGGAAGCUGCGGGUGCGCCCCGGUUGGAUGUGGAACGGCUGUCAAAGGCUGGUCCGCCACUCAACGCGGGGCGCUGGUCAGCGUGGGCCAUCGCGGCGGGACAAGAGCGGGGAUUCGCUUCCCGCCGAUGCCGCUGCGGUGGCCGAGGAACGAAGCGCGCGCUCUUCAUGGGCGUGGGACUUGUCCCAACUGCGCGCUCGGGACGCUGGCGUAUUGAGCUCUUCAUCCGACCCGUCUUGAAACACGGACCAAGGAGUCUAACAUGUAUGCGAGCCGGUGGGCGGCAAACCCAUUGAGGCGCAAGUAACCUGACAGGUGGGACCCCGACCGCAAGGGAGGGAGCACCAUCGACCGACCGUGAUCUUCUGUGAAGGGUUCGAG